UAGGCGUAAAUGAUGCGAGUUAAGUGUGGGGGCAUCUACGAGAUGGCCCUGUGCUGUAGGGUAGCCGUUAAACUCGCUGCCUGGGGAGUACGGUCGCAAGGCUGAAACUUAAAGGAAUUGGCGGGGGAGCACCACAACGGGUGGAGCUUGCGGUUUAAUUGGAUUCAACGCCGGAAAUCUUACCGGGACCGACAGCAACAUGAAGGCCAGGCUGAAGACUUUGCCGGAUUAGCUGAGAGGAGGUGCAUGGCGUAGUCGUGU
Molecule: ribosomal RNA, 261 nt
Filed under: uncultured archaeon
Lineage: Archaea
Description: partial 16S ribosomal RNA
Rfam family: Archaeal small subunit ribosomal RNA
Source: RNAcentral